This 506-nucleotide ribosomal RNA is filed under the name uncultured bacterium. RNAcentral describes it as "partial 16S ribosomal RNA". It matches the Rfam family "Bacterial small subunit ribosomal RNA", at positions 29 to 523 of the family's 1533-position model. The record is from RNAcentral.
AUUGAACGCUGGCGGCAGGCCUAACACAUGCAAGUCGGACGGUAGCACAGAGGAGCUUGCUCCUCGGGUGACGAGUGGCGGACGGGUGAGUAAUGUCUGGGGAUCUGCCCGAUAGAGGGGGAUAACCACUGGAAACGGUGGCUAAUACCGCAUAACGUCGCAAGACCAAAGAGGGGGACCUUCGGGCCUCUCACUAUCGGAUGAACCCAGAUGGGAUUAGCUAGUAGGCGGGGUAACGGCCCACCUAGGCAACGAUCCCUAGCUGGUCUGAGAGGAUGACCAGCCACACUGGAACUGAGACACGGUCCAGACUCCUACGGGAGGCAGCAGUGGGGAAUAUUGCACAAUGGGCGCAAGCCUGAUGCAGCCAUGCCGCGUGUAUGAAGAAGGCCUUCGGGUUGUAAAGUACUUUCAGCGGGGAGGAAGGCGAUGUGGUUAAUAACCGCAUUGAUUGACGUUACCCGCAGAAGAAGCACCGGCUAACUCCGUGCCAGCCGCCGCAGUAA